UACGUAGGGUGCAAGCGUUGUCCGGAAUUAUUGGGCGUAAAGAGCUCGUAGGCGGUUUGUCGCGUCGAAUGUGAAACCCGGGGCUCAACCCCGGGCCUGCAUUCGAUACGGGCAGACUAGAGUUCGGUAGGGGAGUCUGGAAUUCCUGGUGUAGCGGUGAAAUGCGCAGAUAUCAGGAAGAACACCUAUGGCGAAGGCAGCUCUCUGGGACGGUACUGACGCUGAGACGCGAAAGCGUGGGGAGCGAACAGG
This 252-nucleotide ribosomal RNA is filed under the name uncultured bacterium. RNAcentral's name for it is "partial 16S ribosomal RNA". It matches the Rfam family "Bacterial small subunit ribosomal RNA", at positions 524 to 776 of the family's 1533-position model. The record is from RNAcentral.